AAGAAUAUCAAGGUGUCCAAAGAUCUUAUUCUUUCUCAUUCUAUUAUUAAGAAUUUGACAUUCCGGUGUUUAAUUCGUAAGGUCAAAUUAUUAAUUAAGAUUACGAAAAAUAUACAAUUAAUAUAUUUGCUUCGUUAAUUAAUAGCAGAUAAUGCUAUCAGAAAUUUCAACAUCUUUAUAGAAAAGUUGGAUAAGAUACUAAUGAUCAAAUAGUAAUAAACAAAACAGCUAGCUAAUAUACCUUUUUCUUUUCAACAAUAAUGAAGAAUUUGUUUUUAGGUAAAUUGGAAGAGCUUAACUUAGAGAGAGAGAGAAAUUUCAGGUUAGAGGGAGAGAGAGAGUUGAGAUUAAAAACCGAGCUUUUAGGUUAGAGAUAUAAAGAGAUAAAAAGAGAGGAAGAACUUAGCUUAAAGAGAGAGAUUUAAGGUUAGAGGGAGCGACAGAGUUGAGAUUUUAAAAAGAGAGAGAGAGAGAGAGAGAGAGAGAGAGAGUUACCUGGUCGUU
RNAcentral lists this long non-coding RNA (504 nucleotides) under Ananas comosus (pineapple). RNAcentral describes it as "long non-coding RNA (ACOM_LNC039175)". Lineage: Eukaryota; Viridiplantae; Streptophyta; Magnoliopsida; Poales; Bromeliaceae. The record is from RNAcentral.